AUCUCUCUCUCCCUCCUCCCGUCCCCUGCCUGCGGGAGGGGAGCGGUGCAGCAGACAUCCGAGGGCAGCUGGGACCCCCUGACUCAGCCGACGGGUGAGUCAGGCCCCCUGCAGGCCACCCCGGACCCCCCAGGGCGGGGAUUUCCCCAAGAUGAGAAAUCAGCCACCGGAAGUCACGCCGGACCUUGGACGGGCAGACAGAGGCUGGGAGGAGUUCUGGGUGCAGAGCCCCCAACCUGCACACUCAUCUCUUGCUCUGGGUAAGCCAGUGGCCAUGCUAUAAGGGACACUCAAGCCACCCUACGAAGAAGCCCACAUGAAAAGGAACUGAGAUAUCUGGCCAACAGCCAGCCGGUCACUGAGCCUGCCAACCACACUGUGGCAGGUACCUCCAGCCCCAGACGCCUGCAGCCCCCACUGAAAGCUCAACGGUAGCCUCAUGAGACCCUGGACUGGAACCACCCAGCGAAGCGGCUCCUCAAUUCCUGAUUGACAGAAACUAUGGAAUCAUAAAUGCUUGCUGUUCAGUCUGCCAAGUGUUGGCGUGAUUUGUUACACAGCAAUCAGCAACUAAUACGCCACCCAUGGCUGCCGUGUUCCUGCUGUGGGGCCAGCACUGUUCCAUGCUCAGAGGCUCCAUCAAUACCUGUGAUGGACUAAAUGAGACAGGGUCUUGCUAUAUUGCCCAGGCUGGUCUUUAACUUCUAGGCUCAAGUGAGUUCAGCCUCAGCCUCCCAAAGUGCUUGGAUUACAGACAUGAGCCACCAUGCACAGCUUAAAAUUUAUGAUGCCGAUGGUUGCAUAACUGUGAAUAUACUAAAAACCACUGAGGCGGGGUUUGGUGACUAAACACCUGUAAUCCUAGCACUUUGGGAGGCCGAGGUGGGAGGAUCACUUGACAUCAGGAGUUUGAGACCAGCCUAGGCAACAUAGCAAGACUCCAUCUCUACAAAAAAUUUAAAAAUAAAAACCAUUAGGCCCGGCAUGGUGGCUCAUGCCUGUAAUCCCAGCACUUUGGGAGGCCAAUGUGGGUGGAUCACCUGAGGUUAGGAGUUCGAGACCAGGCUGGCCAACAUGGUGAAACCCCAUCUCUACUAAAAAUACAUAAAGUAGCCCGGCGUGGUGGUGGGCACCUGUAAUCCCAGCUACUCAGGAGGAUGAAACAGGAGGAUCACUUGAACCCGGGAGGCAGAGAUUGCAAUGAGCCAAGAUCACGCCACUGCACUUCAGCCUGUGUGACAAGAGUGAAACUCCAUCUCGAAAAUAAAAACGAAAACAAUAACAACAACAGCAACAAAGAACCAUUGCAUUGUGCACAUUAAAUGAAUUGUAUGGUAUGUGAAUUCUAGCUCAAUAAAGCUUCUUAUGCUAAAACAUGACGAAGAAGAAGAGGAGGAGGAGAAGAGGCAAAGUCAUUGGUGCCCAAGGAAUGGCACCAGGAGUGGUCUCCAGGAAGGCUGGCCACCUGCAGGGCUGGGAGAGCUCUGUGAUGCUGACAUCAGGGGCCUUCCUCAUGCCUGGGAAAGAGGACAUGGGCUAAGGGCGGCUAACCAAGGCCUGGGAGAAUACUGAGAGGUGAACAGGCGAUGUGGGUGUGGGGCACU
This is a long non-coding RNA of Symphalangus syndactylus (siamang), 1604 nucleotides long. RefSeq lists it as uncharacterized. Lineage: Eukaryota; Metazoa; Chordata; Mammalia; Primates; Hylobatidae. The record is from RefSeq and is a predicted model, not a curated record.